This 299-nucleotide signal recognition particle RNA is filed under the name Aotus nancymaae (Ma's night monkey). RNAcentral describes it as "Metazoan signal recognition particle RNA (ENSANAG00000005854.1)". It matches the Rfam family "Metazoan signal recognition particle RNA". From Rfam's summary of the family: The signal recognition particle (SRP) is a universally conserved ribonucleoprotein. It is involved in the co-translational targeting of proteins to membranes. Lineage: Eukaryota; Metazoa; Chordata; Mammalia; Primates; Aotidae. The record is from RNAcentral.
GCUGGGCGUGGUGGCACGUGCCUGUAGUCCCAGCUACUUGGGAGGCUGAGGUGGGAGGAUCGCUUGAAUUCAGGAGUUCUGGGCUGUAGUGCACUAUGCCGAUUGGGUGUCCACACUAAGUUCAGCAUCAAUAUGGUGACCUCCAGGGAGCGGGGAACCACCAGGUUGCCUAAGGAGGGGUGAACCGGCCCAGGUUGGAAAUGGAGCAGGUCAAAACUCCCGUGCUGAUCAGUAGUGGGAUCGCGCCUGUGAAUAGCCACUGCACUCCAGCCUGGAUAACGUAGCGAGACCCCAUCUCC